This 459-nucleotide ribosomal RNA is filed under the name uncultured bacterium. RNAcentral describes it as "partial 16S ribosomal RNA". It matches the Rfam family "Bacterial small subunit ribosomal RNA", at positions 338 to 795 of the family's 1533-position model. The record is from RNAcentral.
CCUACGGGUGGCAGCAGUGAGGAAUAUUGGUCAAUGGACGCAAGUCUGAACCAGCCAUGCCGCGUGCAGGAAGACGGCUCUAUGAGUUGUAAACUGCUUUUGUACGAGGGUAAACGCAGAUACGCGUAUCUGUCUGAAAGUAUCGUACGAAUAAGGAUCGGCUAACUCCGUGCCAGCAGCCGCGGUACUACGGAGGAUGCGAGCGUUCUCCGGAUUUAUUGGGUUUAAAGGGUGCGUAGGCGGACGGUUAAGUCAGCGGUAAAAGCCCGGGGCUCAACCCAGGAGAGCCGUUGAAACUGGCUGUCUUGAGAUGGCGAGAAGUAUGCGGAAUGCGUGGUGUAGCGGUGAAAUGCAUAGAUAUCACGAAGAACUCCGAUUGCGAAGGCAGCAUACCGGCGCCCAACUGACGCUGAAGCACGAAAGCGUGGGUAUCGAACAGGAUUAGAUACCCUUGUAGUC